RNAcentral lists this ribosomal RNA (501 nucleotides) under uncultured bacterium. RNAcentral describes it as "bacterial SSU rRNA". It matches the Rfam family "Bacterial small subunit ribosomal RNA", at positions 8 to 507 of the family's 1533-position model. The record is from RNAcentral.
AGAGUUUGGAUCCUGGCUCAGGAUUAACGCUGGCGGUAUGCCUAACACAUGCAAGUCGAACGGAAUACUCGAAAAGAGAAUCUCACACUAGUGAGAGGUUCUCCAACCGAGUAUUUAGUGGCGGACGGGUGAGUAACACGUUGGAACCUGCCCCGAAGUGGGGAAUAACUGCUCGAAAGAGUAGCUAAUACCCCAUAGUAUCCGGUUUAUCCGGAUUAAAGAUUUAUCGCUUCGGGAGGGGCCUGCGUCUGAUUAGCUUGUUGGUGGGGUAAAAGCUCACCAAGGCGACGAUCAGUAGCUGGUUCGAGAGGAUGACCAGCCACACUGGGACUGAGAUACGGCCCAGACUCCUACGGGAGGCAGCAGUGAGGAAUCUUCCACAAUGGACGAAAGUCUGAUGGAGCAAUACCGCGUGCAGGACGACGCUUUUCGGAGUGUAAACUGCUUUUGUCGUCGAAGAUUAUGACUGUAGACGAAGAAUAAGGACCGGCUAACUACGUG